RNAcentral lists this ribosomal RNA (853 nucleotides) under uncultured bacterium. Its description in RNAcentral is "bacterial SSU rRNA". It matches the Rfam family "Bacterial small subunit ribosomal RNA", at positions 8 to 843 of the family's 1533-position model. The record is from RNAcentral.
AGAGUUUGAUCCUGGCUCAGGAUGAACGCUAGCGACAGGCUUAACACAUGCAAGUCGAGGGGCAGCGGGGCGGCAGGCUUGCCUGCCGUUGCCGGCGACCGGCGCACGGGUGAGUAACACGUAUGCAACCUGCCCGUGGCAGGGGGAUAAGCGGGGGAAACCCCGUCUAAUACCGCGUAACGCGGCCUAGGGACAUCCCAAGGCCGCCAAAGGGAGCAAUCCCGGCCACGGAUGGGCAUGCGGCGCAUUAGCUAGUCGGCGGGGUAACGGCCCACCGAGGCGACGAUGCGUAGGGGUUCUGAGAGGAAGGCCCCCCACACUGGUACUGAGACACGGACCAGACUCCUACGGGAGGCAGCAGUGAGGAAUAUUGGUCAAUGGGCGCGAGCCUGAACCAGCCAAGUCGCGUGAGGGAGGACGGCCCUACGGGUUGUAAACCUCUUUUGCCGGGGAGCAACGGGCGUCACGUGUGGCGCCACUGAGAGUACCCGGAGAAAAAGCAUCGGCUAACUCCGUGCCAGCAGCCGCGGUAAUACGGAGGAUGCGAGCGUUAUCCGGAUUUAUUGGGUUUAAAGGGUGCGUAGGCGGAUCGUUAAGUCAGUGGUCAAACUGAGGGGCUCAACCCCUUCCCGCCAUUGAAACUGGCGUUCUUGAGUGGAAGAGAAGUAUGCGGAAUGCGUGGUGUAGCGGUGAAAUGCAUAGAUAUCACGCAGAACCCCGAUUGCGAAGGCAGCAUGCCGGCUUCCGACUGACGCUGAAGCACGAAAGCGUGGGGAUCGAACAGGAUUAGAUACCCUGGUAGUCCACGCGGUAAACGAUGAGCGCUAGGUGUCCGGGGGGAAAUGCCCCUGGG